UCUGAGGUUUCCGGAACCUGGCGCGAAAAAAUAAAUUCAACAGGAAAACAGAAGUCGUGAGAAGGAUAAACUACUUUUAAUGAAUUUACUCCUUAUAUAUAUAUUACAUCUAACGGUGUCGGGUUUCUCACUCUUUAUAACCCGUAUUGUCAACUAAGAAGUGAUCCACUUUUCAAGCAAAGGUUGUUUGGAGACAUGAAUCCAGACGACGUGGUUAUCAUUCUCAGUGAUGAUGAUGAUGUAUCCAUCAACGACUCGGUCUACAUCGUCGAAGACAUCCAGAACAACGUAUACCCAGUAGAUCCCUCUAACUGCAGCAGGUCACAUGAUCCCGAAGGAGAAGAGGACCUG
Molecule: long non-coding RNA, 351 nt
Organism: Oncorhynchus keta (chum salmon)
Lineage: Eukaryota; Metazoa; Chordata; Actinopteri; Salmoniformes; Salmonidae
Exons: 3
Source: RefSeq, a predicted model, not a curated record